CAGGAUUAGAUACCCUGGUAGUCCACGCCGUAAACGAUGUCUACUUGGAGGUUGUGGCCUUGAGCCGUGGCUUUCGGAGCUAACGCGUUAAGUAGACCGCCUGGGGAGUACGGUCGCAAGAUUAAAACUCAAAUGAAUUGACGGGGGCCCGCACAAGCGGUGGAGCAUGUGGUUUAAUUCGAUGCAACGCGAAGAACCUUACCUACUCUUGACAUCCAGAGAAGCCAGCAGAGAUGCAGGUGUGCCUUCGGGAACUCUGAGACAGGUGCUGCAUGGCUGUCGUCAGCUCGUGUUGUGAAAUGUUGGGUUAAGUCCCGCAACGAGCGCAACCCUUAUCCUUGUUUGCCAGCGAGUAAUGUCGGGAACUCCAGGGAGACUGCCGGUGAUAAACCGGAGGAAGGUGGGGACGACGUCAAGUCAUCAUGGCCCUUACGAGUAGGGCUACACACGUGCUACAAUGGCGCAUACAGAGGGCUGCCAACCAGCGAUGGUGAGCGAAUCCCAAAAAGUGCGUCGUAGUCCGGAUUGGAGUCUGCAACUCGACUCCAUGAAGUCGGAAUCGCUAGUAAUCGUGGAUCAGAAUGCCACGGUGAAUACGUUCCCGGGCCUUGUACACACCG
RNAcentral lists this ribosomal RNA (620 nucleotides) under uncultured marine bacterium. RNAcentral's name for it is "bacterial SSU rRNA". It matches the Rfam family "Bacterial small subunit ribosomal RNA", at positions 773 to 1392 of the family's 1533-position model. The record is from RNAcentral.